This 378-nucleotide small RNA is filed under the name Pan troglodytes (chimpanzee). RNAcentral describes it as "processed transcript". Lineage: Eukaryota; Metazoa; Chordata; Mammalia; Primates; Hominidae. The record is from RNAcentral.
GAGAGGAAACUGGAUCAAACCAUCAUGCGGAAGCGAGUGGACAUCCAGGAGGCUCUGAAGAGGCCCAUGAAGCAAAAGCGGAAGCUGCGACUCUAUAUCUCCAACACUUUUAACCCUGCGAAGCCUGAUGCUGAGGAUUCUGACGGCAGCAUUGCCUCCUGGGAGCUACGGGUGGAGGGGAAGCUCCUGGAUGAUGUACGUCCCGGCCCAGCCCAGCAAACAGAAGCGGAAGUUCUCUUCUUUCUUCAAGAGUUUGGUCAUCGAGCUGGACAAAGAUCUUUACGGCCCUGACAACCACCUCGUUGAGUGGCAUCGGACACCCACGACCCAGGAGACGGAUGGCUUCCAGGUGAAACGGCCUGGGGACUUGAGUGUGCG